This 103-nucleotide transfer RNA is filed under the name Bifidobacterium bifidum. RNAcentral describes it as "tRNA-Met". RNAcentral also lists the same sequence under 1 other name. Lineage: Bacteria; Bacillati; Actinomycetota; Actinomycetes; Bifidobacteriales; Bifidobacteriaceae. The record is from RNAcentral.
GGCGGGGCAUGGAAGGCCCCGGCUAUGAUUCUCGCGGCUUAGUUUUGAGCCGUUUGGGAUCAUAACCCAGAGGUCCAUGGUUCAAAUCCAUGCCCCGCUACCA